This 1333-nucleotide long non-coding RNA is filed under the name Monodelphis domestica (gray short-tailed opossum). RNAcentral describes it as "lncRNA (ENSMODG00000040108.1)". Lineage: Eukaryota; Metazoa; Chordata; Mammalia; Didelphimorphia; Didelphidae. The record is from RNAcentral.
CCCAUAGUCAUCCCAAAAAUCCUUCACUAAGUUUCUUGGACAAAAGAAUCCUUCUUAGAUAAAUGGAUUGAGGAUGUACCAAAGCCUUUAACAAUGAAUAACUCUUGAUUUCUCAUUGCUUUCCUUCCCCCAAAGUGAUUGUCAUUUGACUCCUCUAGGGCAGUCUUCUCUUUACUUGCCACCUGAAGUGAUUGACAAACUAGUACCCACCCUUCUUCAUUAAGAAAACACUAAGAUAUCACUGGAAAGAAGAGGUCAUUUUAUUUAACUGCAGGAUUAGAGGAGUGAUACAAAGGAGAUGAGAUUGUGAACUGGAUUUUGAAAUAUUAACUCAGACUGAAUUUCAAAAAAUCAUAUCCUUUCUUAAGAUUCCUGUAAAAGGCUAUUUACAAACAGUAUAUUCUCCUGAAGUUGCCUCCCCUCAUCCAAGAUCUCUGAGUAAUUAUCCUGAUAUAUAUCUAUAUUUUUAGGAAGUAUUGAGAAAAAUAAUUUGGAAAACUUGGUGAUGAAGAAGAUACUCCAAGUACAGAGGAUGGUGGUGUUGACAAUGAACCAAAUUGUAUGAGAAUUUCUUUACCUCUUUUACUACCUCCACAUUGUAUAAGUAAGAGAGAAGAUGAAGUGCAUCUGCAAAGAAGAUAGAGAUGCAGGGAAAAGAUUCUAGAGUGUGGAGGAAAAAGGGAAGACAGUUUACUGGGCUUGUGAUCUGGGUCUUUCUCGGGUUUUGACCUGGAGAGACUGGGUACUUGCCCUUGUCUGUUUCUACCUUAUCUUUUCCAUCUUAACUGCUUCCCUAUUGGCUGGUUGAUAUCUACAGAGCUUCCUGGUUUGAUCCUGAACCAUCUGGGCCAUCUGUCUAUAAGAUUAGGUCUAGAGUCCUUCUGAUCCAUGACUUCUCCUUGGACUCUCUCCUGCCUAACUGCCAAACCUCACUACUUCUAUUACCAUCAAAGGGCGGAGAGAGACUAACUAUUCAAUGCCCCAUGCCUGGAUAAGGGACAGGAAGGGUUGACAAGAGUGGAAAAGAAGAGAAAUCCAGGUUCUUCGAGUUUCCAGUGUGGAGAGAGAAAAUACACCAUAACAACAACUCUUUAGUACCAACCUACACAGAGAGAAAAGACUGUGGGAAGAAGAGAAGACCUAGAGAUUUAACCAUUUCUCUAUUCACAGCUUGUUACACCAGACUUCAAUGAAUUUUCUCCCCUUGGGUAAGACCUAGAAUCUUCUUGGCUUAUCUUGCACACAAUGGGGAGAAUUUCUAUUAAUUAAAUAUUAUUAUAAACUAUUAUUACUACCCUACUUUAAUGGGAUUGGAAGUCAUUGUAAAACUCAG